Molecule: ribosomal RNA, 496 nt
Filed under: uncultured bacterium
Lineage: Bacteria
Description: partial 16S ribosomal RNA
Rfam family: Bacterial small subunit ribosomal RNA
Source: RNAcentral
GAUGAACGCUGGCGGCGUGCCUAAUACAUGCAAGUCGAGCGAACAGAUGAGGAGCUUGCUCCUCUGACGUUAGCGGCGGACGGGUGAGUAACACGUGGAUAACCUACCUAUAAGACUGGGAUAACUUCGGGAAACCGGAGCUAAUACCGGAUAAUAUAUUGAACCGCAUGGUUCAAUAGUGAAAGACGGUUUUGCUGUCACUUAUAGAUGGAUCCUCGCCGCAUUAGCUAGUUGGUAAGGUAACGGCUUACCAAGGCAACGAUGCGUAGCCGACCUGAGCGGGUGAUCGGCCACACUGAAACUGACACGCGAUCCAGACUCCUACGGGAGGCAGCAGUAGGGAAUCGUCCGCAGUGGGCGAAAGCCUGACGGGCAACGCCGCGUGAGUGAUGAAGGUCUUCGGAGCGUAAAACUCUGUUAUUAGGGAAGAACAAAUGUGUAAGUAACUAUGCACGUCUUGACGGUACCUAAUCAGAAAGCCACGGCUAACUACGUG